Molecule: small RNA, 126 nt
Filed under: Salmonella enterica
Lineage: Bacteria; Pseudomonadati; Pseudomonadota; Gammaproteobacteria; Enterobacterales; Enterobacteriaceae
Description: RtT sRNA
Rfam family: RtT RNA
About the family: This family represents a bacterial cis-regulatory element known as RtT RNA. The exact function of RtT is unknown although it is thought that it may be involved in changing the cellular response in relation to amino acid starvation.
Source: RNAcentral
UUGCUAUCUGCGAUAUGGAAGAUUCGAACCUGCCGCAGGUUCGGGUCUCACUGCGUGAGACAACGGAGCCGUUUACGGCGACGGCCCGAAGGGCGAGCGAAGCGAGUCAUCCUGCACGACCCACCA